Molecule: long non-coding RNA, 361 nt
Organism: Syngnathus acus (greater pipefish)
Lineage: Eukaryota; Metazoa; Chordata; Actinopteri; Syngnathiformes; Syngnathidae
Exons: 2
Source: RefSeq, a predicted model, not a curated record
AAGUACAGUACUUCGUGUGCAGAUUAAAUGUGAAAAUUUCACAUAAAUGGUAAAAAUAAGGCGCAGUGCUUCACUAUUCUUCAAACUAAAUGUCAUUCAUUAUUCAUAAGCUCAUCAGGGAUAUUAAUUACAUAGCAACAUGCUGGUUUUUGACUAAAAUGUGUUCCCUUCAUGUGAACUUCCUGUUUUCUCUGAUGCUAAAUGCAGUGAAAUCGAAAAGGCAGUGAGAAGUGACAACCACAACUUGGUGCUACCUCAAUGUCAGUUUCAUGACCCAGUUCGUAACUCAUAUAUUCUGUCAUUAAAAAAUUACUACAGUAAUGUGAAACAACAUUACAAGAGCAAAUGGAAGAGAGUAGAA